Molecule: non-coding RNA, 486 nt
Organism: Jatropha curcas
Lineage: Eukaryota; Viridiplantae; Streptophyta; Magnoliopsida; Malpighiales; Euphorbiaceae
Source: RefSeq, a predicted model, not a curated record
AAGGCAAUCGAAGGGACACCGGAGAACUUCAAAGAAUACGCGUUCAAUUGAUAGAGCCAUCCCCAGACGGCGAAGAGUACCGCGUCCUCAAGAUGCUCAAUGAAAUCUUAGCCAAGGAAUUCCAAGGGCUUUGCGACCGAUUACCCAUCACGCAAUGCGUUACGCAGUUGGCCUUGGGGUCGAUUGGAGCGGCCAAGUUUGGUAUUUGGGUGUGGCAAAAGGCCAUCGGAUAUUGGGAUGCCGAAGGAAAUCAAAGAGAAACCAGAAAACGAAGGAAUGGAAAUUUGAGCAGUCACGUUGUGGGCAUUAUUAUGGUUCCUCCUGCUGUGGAUGAGGUGAAGGUUUUUAGGAUUUCUAGGGCCUAAAUUUGUUAAACUUGAUGUUGGAACUUGGCAUUGCAGGGGCCUCUUUUCAAAGGGAUUCCAUUGAAUUUUCUUCAAUUUGGAAUUGACAGACACCAACGUAGUGGAUCACACGUACACAUGA